RNAcentral lists this long non-coding RNA (1495 nucleotides) under Musa acuminata (dwarf banana). Its description in RNAcentral is "long non-coding RNA (MACU_LNC005957)". Lineage: Eukaryota; Viridiplantae; Streptophyta; Magnoliopsida; Zingiberales; Musaceae. The record is from RNAcentral.
CAGUUUCCUGCUUGCAGCUUGUCAUGUAUAUUUUCUGGAGGAUGAGGCCGUCAAAGGAAGUGAUUGAUUUGGAAAAGAUCUGUGACAAGAGUACUUGUGCCAGAAGGAACCAACUCAGUCAGAGAUUCUAAAGACAUGCCAUGUUCAUACUCAUCUGCCUGAUGGAAGGAAGAGAUACCAUUCAUGUUCUUUUACACACUAGGCUGAAUUAGAUCAACAACCUUUAGCCAAAAGCAGAUGUAGAUCCAUGCAUGUAGCAAAGAAGACUAACCUUUUUCUUGGCUCUUUAAUCUUUUACACUUACCAUAUUUCAAGGUGUUGUCAUCCACAUAUUGGCUGACAUUGUUGAUAGCAAUCCUGAUCAAGAGACAAAUUCUUCUGAUGGUUAUCUUGCAAAGAGCAUUCAAAACAAUUAACCAAGUAAGUGCAAGGAAGCUUCAUAUGCCAUCAAGGAUUCCUUGACCACUUGUUCAUGUUAAAUCUCCAACCUCAAACUGUAUUCUCUUCCAGGUGCCUCUAGAUGACAUGGUCAGAAAUUUCCAGAAACCACAAAAAGAAAAAUUGCCUUUGUGCAAAUUAAGGCCAGUCAGAAGAGAUCAAACUAUUUUACCAAUGGCACAUUCAAUGCAGAGAUUCAUGGACAACCUCCUUGAAUCAAUGCCACAUGCAAAAGAUCUAAGAAAGAGAGAUGGUUCCAGCUUGUUCAACAAAUCUUCUCAAAGGAUGGGAAAAGAUAAAAAGAGUUAAAGCAACCUCUGUUUCUAGGUAACCAUUUUCCACGGAUUCAAUGAUACACACUUCAAGACCGCUGACAAAUCCUCUUGCAGGGAAACCAUUCCCUUAAAAUGCUAGUUAUUACUAUAUGAAAGAAGUUGACUUCCUAGAAAAAGUAGAUCUGCCAUAUCUGAGUGGUAUAGCCUCAUCUGGAUCUAAAAAUGAACAGAGGAGAACCAAAAACCAAAGAUGAUUUUUUGCAUCACUGAAAUGCUGUUAUCAGGAAAACAAAGAAGCCCCAACCCUUGAUCAGGAUUUGUUCUUCACCAAGACUCUCUUCAGCUACUGCUCCCUGCUGUAAGGAAUUCAUUGGUGAGGAUUGGAUUCAAUCUGUUGUUUGUUUGUGUUCUUGUUUCAAAGGCUCCUAAAUAAUGGCGGAGUUGGCAAACUGUACAUCGUGUUCUCUUCCUAAUCCACACCCUGUAGGCAUCCGAUGCUGGCUCAUGACUUAACCUAAACGCAAAGAGAAGAGAGCCGUGGGAGGUGGUGGGAAGCAACUGAUAGGGGCGAGGUUAGAUUUGUCAUAAAGAUCGUGUUCCAGACAAGACCACGUUUACACGGGGAAAUCCAACCACUAGAUUCUCCUACCGAUCCACGUUCACACGUUGUCGGCGCCGACCCGCCAUGGACCCCCGCUGCUGACCUGUCUCCCCCUGACGUCGCCACGAGGGACUUCGACGAACCGUCGUCUGAGCUAGCGGCCUCCUCCGCGUCCCCCCCC